RNAcentral lists this long non-coding RNA (1336 nucleotides) under Cyanistes caeruleus (blue tit). RNAcentral describes it as "lncRNA (ENSCCEG00000003061.1)". Lineage: Eukaryota; Metazoa; Chordata; Aves; Passeriformes; Paridae. The record is from RNAcentral.
AUGUUUCCCAACCAGUUUAUUCUAUUUGAUUCUGUGAAUGCCGGCAAGCCUGCAGCGAGGGCAGAGCUCGGAGAACUGCCUCCUCAUCUUGGCCAAACAAACACUGCUUCCAUGUUUGACUUAUGGCUGAGUCAAUUCAUCUCCCUUCGCAGCAUCCCCAGCAGUUUACACUGGAAACUGGAAGAGGCCAGUGUGUUACCACAGGGCCCUAGCUUAGAAACACAGAUGGUGGAUGAUGAAACUGAGACUACAGGUGAAGAAUUGCCUCCUCAUCUGCGGGAAGAGCCUCCUGAAGGGUACAGCCAGAUUGUUGGAAUGUGUUUUACAGUAGUUUGACCAAAGGAGAAAACUUACGAUCUGCAUGAAUUGGAUAGGUAAGUUUUUGUUUUAGUUUCUGCCCUAUUCCCCUCUCUCUGUAUUCUUCUGGUUUAGUUCUGGCAGACAUAAAAAUGGAAAAAUAUGAUUUAGAUUUGAUCUUGGGAUGUCAUAUGAGUUGUCUCUAUCUUCUCAAAGUGUACGUCCUCAUGAUACGUCUUAGCCUCCAUGAUUUCCUCAGUCUGUUGUUGAUACUCACUAGCCUCUGGACAGUAGUUGUCCUAUUCCUUGUUUGAAUGCUCUUCAACAAUAUUUUCCUGUAACCAAUUGGUCACUGAAUGUCUGUCUAGCUGUUUCCUAGUCUAAUUAUCUACUCAGCAACCAAGUGUUUGGCAUGGGUAUUUGAAGAACUAUGGGAGGCCUGGGUAUACAGAAGUCUUGGCAGAUGCUUGAGGCAAUCAUCUUGCUUGUCUAACCCAAAAUCUUCCAUCUGGGAGAUGGAGAUGUAUUACAGCAUGAAACAAACCAUUUUCCAAAGUGUUUAAAUCUAUAAAGAAGGAAAUGGAAAAUUUAGAUUUCUGCAGUCUUUGACUAAGCCUCUUGUGUCUACCUGUUAAGACAAAUCUUUGCUAUGCAGCAACACAACUGCGUUUCUGUGCAAAAAUGACAGCAUUUAUAUAUUUGUGUUUAAUAAUACAGAAAUGAGUGAAGGUCUUUAGUUCCCUGCAGAGACAGGAGUUGAAACCUGUGAAGUCUACACAAAUGAAUCAAGAAUUUGAAGAUUGACUUACUUUGCGAAUUACAAUAGGCCCCUGUUUGCUAUUGCAUAUUAAUAGGAAGAUGAAGGAGGAAUGUGAUAAAGACACAGCAUGUGUGAAAGCAGAUAUUCCAUUAACCUGAGAUCCUGUGGCUUCUGAUGCUUGAGCAUCACUCAGGAUGCAUCUGCUCUCAAGACGUAGUUACUUCAUGGCACAACUUUAUGUACAUUGACUAAGGGAUCCAACGGUGACUUUCCAGGUCU